Molecule: RNA transcript, 1645 nt
Organism: Xiphias gladius (swordfish)
Lineage: Eukaryota; Metazoa; Chordata; Actinopteri; Istiophoriformes; Xiphiidae
Gene: ubtd1b
Gene name: ubiquitin domain containing 1b
Exons: 5
Source: RefSeq, a predicted model, not a curated record
GGAAACAGUCUGCAGUCUGACCAUGGGAGGAUGUGUUGGGAGAUACUGGCAGGGCUGGGAGGACACACAGAGCCGAGGCUCGUCCAGGAACGGUGGACGAGGAGGACGUAAUGAGCCUCUGAAGAAAGAUCGUCCCAAGUGGAAGAGCGACUACCCGAUGACAGAGGGCCAGCUACGGAGCAAGCGGGAUGAGUUCUGGGACACAGCGCCGGCCUUCGAGGGCCGUAAAGAGAUCUGGGACGCCCUGAAAGCCGCCGCUGUGGCACUGGAGUGUAACGACCACGAGCUGGCCCAGGCUAUAGUGGACGGAGCCAGUAUCACACUGCCACAUGGUACUCUCACAGAGUGUUACGAUGAACUCGGUAACCGCUACCAGCUGCCCGUCUACUGCCUGGCUCCACCUGUCAACCUCAUCUCAGAACGCAGCGAUGAGGAUCCCAGCGACAGCCCCGAACCCCCCGUAGCACCCAAGAAGGAAUUUCAGCUCAAGGUGAGACUGUCCACAGGUAAGGACCUGCGCCUCAGCGCCAGCAUGGCCGACACCAUAGGGCAGCUUAAAAAGCAGCUGCAGGCCCAGGAGGACAUCGACGCCACCCAUCAGCGCUGGUUCUUCUCUGGCAAGUUGCUCACGGACAAGACGCGGCUGCAAGACACUAAGAUCCAGAAGGACUUUGUCAUCCAGGUCAUCAUCAACCCGCAGGCCCUCCGAGCCCCCAAGGCGUCACCCGCCUUAUCUGAAUAACUGAGAACAAAGAGGAUAACGUGAGGGCUGACGCUGUGGGUGACAGACACUAAAGGACCAGAGGUGCCUCCUAAUGCUGGAUUGAAAUAAAACUGAACUGCGGAGGUAACUACAUGAGGGAGAAACUCUUAAGUGCUGCUUUCUUUCAUCUAUCAAGUGUCAUUGUAUUUUUUUUUGGGUAUGUUGGGUUGUUCUUAAAGUGAAUCCAGUCACCACACUAACUUGGGAGAUCCUCUUCCCCUUGUCUCUUUGAAGCAUUGCAAAUUAAAGCAGAACCUAUGCUAAUGAGCAGCCUUUUCAAACACAUCCAGCAUGUGCAUAUCGUGCUGCACAUACAAAGACUCGGCCUCUGCCCUUUUUGUCUGCACUAACGGUAACUAAGUGCCAAUGGAAGAAAUGCAGAAGUGUUUGUGUUGGUUUCAAAGCACAUUUCUACUAGGACGCCGAUGGACUCCGCACUGCAUUCCUCGUCUCCUCCACAGAUACAAGAGGGGAAGAAUGAAGUGGUUUGACUUCCUGUAGGAAAAGCCAAAGGUGUCCCAACAUUAACGAUGGCUCUGCUCUGUCCCAGUGAAGCCAUUUCAGCGCGCCCACAUGCACAACACCAGGACCCCGACACUGAGGCAGCUAGAUGGAAUUCAGCCAUCAUCCAUUUUAUUAUUUACACCCGUGCUUUUUCUUACCGUCGGACCGCAAAAUGCCCGUGAUUCUAGCCGGUUAGACUUCGACAGCGCUACUCUAACAGGUGCCGCGGAAUUGGCGGCGGAGUGAGACGCCAGUUCAACAGAGGCGGCACAUCCCCGCGUGGUCCUGAGGUCCAACUAAGCGACGCGAAACUAGCUGCGAGUGGACCCUGGGUGCGCGGCCAAACCCUUGAGGGGCACGAAUUAGCUCCUAGUGCAG